GGGGGGGGGGGGGGGAAAGCACCAUCUUCUUCAGGUAAUUCUUCGCCGCUUCAGUCGAUGCUCUCUGCAGCAACAUAUCUCUGUGUAUCGGAUCGAAACGAGGAGGUUUUUUCCGUUUAUACACAAACCACGUAAAAGAGAAGGAGAUAGCACUCUCAUUUCACUUUUCUCACCAAAGGACGCAUGCUGCGUAUCACGAGUUAAAAGUCAGACACUUGGACAGCUCGAAUCCACGAACGACUUGAAAAUCUAAAGGGGCAGGUUGUGUUGAUCACAAACUGAAAGAACUCAUGCAGAGCUCAGCUGUGAUCCACUGCUUAAAGCAAACGAACGCAUGCAUAUGGCUCAACUGAAAGCAUCAGUGGUUCUGAAUCAUGCAUAUGGCUAUUUUCAAGUUGAUCAGACCCUAUCAUCUUGUCCAUCUUUUCUUCACCGCUCUUCAUUGCUGAUACCUCGUCAAUUUCCUCUUCUAGUCGACUAAGGUCAGUCACACUAAGCUGCUCCAAAUAUGGCUCUUCCAGGUACCUUCCCAAAGUUGCUGCACAAUUGUACUGUUGGAGAUUGGUUUCUCAGCUAAGGUGUAUUUUGUCCAUGCUACACAGGAAGACAAUGUUACAAUGGCCGCCAUAAACUUGUACUUUUUGUCACUCAAUCUGUAGUCAAUGAUAAUAUAGAGCCCAAACAUGUUCAGUUAAUCAAUGAGCAGCAAAAACAAACAAUCUGAUGUAGAACAGAAAAGUAGUUAUUAGGAUUUAGUAUUUUGAUUAUUUUAAUUCUUUUGUUUAUUUCCUAUUUUAGUUUGUUUGCUAGUUUCUUUCAUUAAUUCUUUAGUUUUUUUUUUUUGAAAUAAGUGAGGACUGAUAUGUUAUAAAUGAAGCCAAAAGAGCAGAACAGCAAACAUUAGAAAAAAAACACCAGCCCCACCCACCAACAAACCAGAAAAAAACAGAAGCCCAGAAAAACAACUGCCCCCCCCCCCCCCCCCCCCCCCACACACACACGCGCGCGCGCGCCAUUAGGAAAGACCCGAGAGAACCCAAUCAGACUUCAUAACCAACCAGCCUAGAAGAGUGAGAGGAACUUAUUGGCCAAGAGCCGAAGCAGACAUGAUGAAAGUAGCUUUUGAUUAUUGAAUUGAUUUGAGUUUGUUCCUGUGUUCUGGCUUUCAGGUUCUGCAUCAUAAUCAUAUACAAAUUUCUGUAAUUUAAUAUGUUUCCCCAAUGGAUUUGAAUAAAAACUGAAACAACAUGGAAAAAUUCUUUUUGACGAGUCAAAUUGUAGUAGUAGAUGUUGAACCUCUUUCCGUGCUCAAUAAAUAAAUUACCUCUGCUUCACUCUUUCCUUCUGCCUUGGAGUGGCUCUGAUAACGCUGGAGUAUCUUUGCCGAACUGAAAUAUUAAAGACUAUUCAGCUCCAUCUUCAGGAUGAAAAUCGACAGCCCAAUAGCAACAUAUGCAUGAUUACAUAUACAAGAUUAUAAAUGAAACAAUGUCAAACAAUUAAAUGAUUGUGCACAAAGCAACGUUGUGCAUAUUCCCACGCAAUGUGUAUAGAAAUAAAAAAUAAAUGAAUAACAUUAAACAGAUUGCUUAUGCAGUGCAGAACUUUAACAGGUAAGAUAGACCUGGGAAUUCAUUGAAUAACAUGGGAAGAUUUUAAUAACCAGCAGAAUUUGGGAAAGUGAAAUAUACUGAUUGGAAUAUAUGAACAGAAUACAGAAAGCUAAUGUUAGAAUGUUAGGUUGGCACACUGCCACAGCCAUAGGGCAUAUAAGCUUUGAAGAAAACCACAAAAAAGAUCAUGAACUCUGAACCAAGUAUAUGGCAUAACUACAAAAAAUGGAUCCAUGCAUUAAGAACUACCUUUGCCACUUUAUUUCUCUGUAUCUUUUUCUAGUGAAGAAAUAAUAUUACCAAUUGGUUGAGAGACAAAUAUCAGUGUAUUAUUAUUUCUGCUCUUUGUUAACGGUUGUUCUGGUUAUAUUCAUCAAUUUUGGACUAUUACUAUGAUUGAUUCUUAGUUGUCACUCAAAGUCACUUCAAUGAGGUCCAGGAAAAAGGUACCAGUUGGUGCAUCUCCGCACUAAGGAUGUUGAACUCUUAUUAUGGAAUCCGCUUCAAUUCACAUCUAGAAAUUCCAAAAAUAAUAAGCAUCUCCAUAUCAAAUUAUGAAGCACAACCUCAUGCUUCAAAUACAAGGACUUCCUACAUUUUGGAAACAAGAUUACUAAUCGCUUUCCAAAAAGCCUUUUCACUUCCAACAAGCAUGGAUGUCACAAAUUGAGCAAACAAUCAUACCAAUGACAAUGCUUUUGGCUAAUAGCUUCCCAUUUAAGGUGUGUGGCAAGUCUAAGUCCUUUGUUAUGCGGUUAACUGAGGUCACACAUUUUUUUAUUAUUCCUAGUAGCUUGUCUGGAAGCAGAUUGUACUAGUGGACCUGGCCACCAUCAUUAUUGUGUGCUAAAAAGAGCGUAUGGUUUCAGAAAAGUGCCAUAAUAUGUCAAACAUCAAUAUUUGGUGAAUAUUCUGCUUGCAUAUUAAACUCUUAUUUCUAGACUUUUUUAAUUUCAGAAACUAUCAAAGCUAAAGUUCAGUUUGUUACCAAUAGAUUGUAGAAUGAAUACUAAAAUUUCUUCUCUCUUCUCCAAAUUUAUAAAUGUAGAAGAAAACUUUUCUCUAUGCCAAACGUAUUUACUUCAUAUUUAAUUUCACAAUAUAUAUUUACCCAUUGAGGCAUUAUUGUCAAUAGAUGUCAUAAUUUUUUCUGAAAAUUGUUGGGGUAAGAUAUUUGUUUAUGACCUCCUUACAUAUAAAUGUCUGUGCUCCUUAUGAUACAAAGCAACGUUUUAUUUGGCCAAUGAUUGGUGUAAUAAUUACUCAAAAUGAAAAAUUGUGGAACACGAGGAAAGUCAUAAAAAAACUUUGAUAGACCUUUAUGUCAACUCCUUUUAUCUACAAUUUAUAGACGAAGUUGAAUAUUGGUUUCACACAUUGGCCAUGCACUUUUCAUAUGAGAUGUAGAUAUUUGUACAGAAGUAGGAGGAAUUUUGAAAAGAAAGGUGAUAUUAAAGGCUUCUACAAUACAACAAAGGGGCGCGUUAACAAUUAACUAAUAUAAUAGAGAACACAAGGAUUGCCCUUUAUUUUUUUUUUUUUUUAUCUACAAGAGUGCUUCUAGACCCAAGAAUGUUGGAGUUUCUCCUCUUUAAAGUGUGUUUUACCAACUUCUAGUAACUUUCUUGAUGUAGUUCUUAUAGAAGAGGACACAUGGCCUUGUAUUAGCCUUAUUGUCAUAACAUUUUGUAAACUUAUUUUCAUUAAAAUGGAUUUUUGGUUUCUGUCCUUGUUUUUUUUUUUCCCUUUUAAAAUAUUGGUGCUUCUGAUUUGCAACUUCUGUGAUUAUUGCUACUUCCAUAUUCUUGUUAUUUACUAUUGGUAUUUGGACUUGUAUAAAUUGCUUAAAGCUUGUGUUGGUUGGGGAAGGGAUGCUUGAAAGCAAGUUGUAUAGAACAAUGCUUGGGGAUAGGGUAUCCACUGAAUUCUUAAGUGCCUUACGGAGGUAAAUAGUCACCGAUAAUGGUUUUAACAGGGGAUCAAGAUGUUGCACACUCUCUCAAGGAGGGCAAGAAUGCAAAGAAUAUGUAUAUAAGGGAUGAGACUCUUGAACUACUACUCUGUUGAGUUGGAUGAGAAUGUGUACAACAUCUAAAGAAGGUGACUAAGCUAGGGGAGGGUACUUGCAGGCCACCAAGUCAUCACGUGCUUGGAGACUUCAAUGAGUGAGGUUCACAAGUUAGAGAUCCCGUUACAUGUGGGGGGCAUGCGGUUACUCUGGCAAUUAUUUGAAUUUAGUUGAUAAUCUUGUUGAUUGCAGAUGCACACUGGUGGAUUUUUUAUUUGUCUAGUGUGUGCAACGUUAGAUCCUAUUCCUCUCUCACUCUAUCUCUAGCUUACUAUCUCUCAUUCUAGUGGGUAUUGAUUUAAAUUACUCACUUCAUGUUCAUAUUUAAAUUUGUUUUUUAUUGUAUAUGAAAAAAGUUUAAAAUUAGUCUACAAUGUAGUCAUAUAAGUUUCAAUAUUUUAUUUAUACUAUCAAAACUGUUGGAAGCAAAACAACCACAUUUGCAUUGGAUGUCGUGUGCAACACAUUGCCCCCCAUUAGGUGAUAAGAGGAUAUUUUCCUUACACUACUUGAAUGGGGUUCAUGGAUGAGAAAAAUACUAAUUUGGAGGAAAA
This is a long non-coding RNA of Diospyros lotus (date-plum), 4235 nucleotides long. RefSeq lists it as uncharacterized. Lineage: Eukaryota; Viridiplantae; Streptophyta; Magnoliopsida; Ericales; Ebenaceae. The transcript is spliced from 6 exons. The record is from RefSeq and is a predicted model, not a curated record.